AGAAUCAACGCUGGCGGCGUGCCUAACACAUGCAAGUCGCACGAGAAAGUGGAGCAAUCCACGAGUAAAGUGGCGCACGGGUGAGUAACACGUGAAUAAUCUACCUCCGAGUGGGGGAAUAACUGAGAGAAAUCUUAGCUAAUACCGCAUAAUACCCACGGGUCAAAGCAGCAAUGCGCUUGGAGAGGAGUUCGCGGCCGAUUAGCUAGUUGGCGGGGUAAUGGCCCACCAAGGCGAUGAUCGGUA
This 246-nucleotide ribosomal RNA is filed under the name uncultured bacterium. RNAcentral's name for it is "partial small subunit ribosomal RNA". It matches the Rfam family "Bacterial small subunit ribosomal RNA", at positions 26 to 285 of the family's 1533-position model. The record is from RNAcentral.